AUAGUAGAGAGUGACAGAGUUCCAGGGUAAACCAGGUAUAGUAGAGAGUGACAGAGUUCCAGGGUAAACCAGGUAUAGUAGAGAGUGACAGAGUUCCAGGGUAAACCAGGUAUAGUGGAGAGUGACAGAGUUCCAGGGUAAAGCAGGUAUAGUAGAGAGUGACAGAGUUCCAGGGUAAACCAGGUAUAGUAGAGAGUGACAGAGUUCCAGGGUAAACCAGGUAUAGUGGAGAGUGACAGAGUUCCAGGGUAAACCAGGUAUAGUAGAGAGUGACAGAGUUCCAGGGUAAACCAGGUAUAGUGGAUAGUGACAGAGUUCCAGGUUAAACCAGGUAUAGUGGAGAGUGACAGAGUUCCAGGUUAAACCAGGUAUAGUGGAGAGUGACAGAGUUCCAGGGUAAACCAGGUAUAGUGGAGAGUGACAGAGUUCCAGGUUAAACCAGGUAUAGUAGAGUGACAGAGUUCCAGGGUAAACCAGGUAUAGUGGAGAGUGACAGAGUUCCAGGUUAAACCAGGUAUAGUAGAGUGACAGAGUUCCAGGUUAAACCAGGUAUAGUAGAGAGUGACAGAGUUCCAGGGUAAACCAGGUAUAGUGGAGAGUGACAGAGUUCCAGGUUAAACCAGGUAUAGUAGAGAGUGACAGAGUUCCAGGUUAAACCAGGUAUAGUAGAGUGACAGAGUUCCAGGGUAAACCAGGUAUAGUAGAGAGUGACAGAGUUCCAGGUUAAACCAGGUAUAGUGGAGAGUGACAGAGUUCCAGGUUAAACCAGGUAUAGUAGAGUGACAGAGUUCCAGGGUAAACCAGGUAUAGUGGAGAGUGACAGAGUUCCAGGUUAAACCAGGUAUAGUAGAGUGACAGAGUUCCAGGUUAAACCAGGUAUAGUAGAGAGUGACAGAGUUCCAGGGUAAACCAGGUAUAGUGGAUAGUGACAGAGUUCCAGGUUAAACCAGGUAUAGUGGAGAGUGACAGAGUUCCAGGUUAAACCAGGUAUAGUGGAGAGUGACAGAGUUCCAGGGUAAACCAGGUAUAGUGGAGAGUGACAGAGUUCCAGGUUAAACCAGGUAUAGUGGAGAGUGACAGAGUUCCAGGUUAAACCAGGUAUAGUAGAGUGACAGAGUUCCAGGUUAAACCAGGUAUAGUAGAGAGUGACAGAGUUCCAGGGUAAACCAGGUAUAGUGGAUAGUGACAGAGUUCCAGGUUAAACCAGGUAUAGUGGAGAGUGACAGAGUUCCAGGUUAAACCAGGUAUAGUGGAGAGUGACAGAGUUCCAGGGUAAACCAGGUAUAGUGGAGAGUGACAGAGUUCCAGGUUAAACCAGGUAUAGUGGAGAGUGACAGAGUUCCAGGUUAAACCAGGUAUAGUAGAGUGACAGAGUUCCAGGGUAAACCAGGUAUAGUAGAGAGUGACAGAGUUCCAGGUUAAACCAGGUAUAGUGGAGAGUGACAGAGUUCCAGGUUAAACCAGGUAUAGUAGAGUGACAGAGUUCCAGGGUAAACCAGGUAUAGUAGAGAGUGACAGAGUUCCAGGUUAAACCAGGUAUAGUGGAGAGUGACAGAGUUCCAGGUUAAACCAGGUAUAGUAGAGUGACAGAGUUCCAGGGUAAACCAGGUAUAGUAGAGAGUGACAGAGUUCCAGGUUAAACCAGGUAUAGUGGAGAGUGACAGAGUUCCAGGUUAAACCAGGUAUAGUAGAGAGUGACAGAGUUCCAGGUUAAACCAGGUAUAGUAGAGAGUGACAGAGUUCCAGGUUAAACCAGGUAUAGUGGAGAGUGACAGAGUUCCAGGUUAAACCAGGUAUAGUAGAGAGUGACAGAGUUCCAGGUUAAACCAGGUAUAGUAGAGAGUGACAGAGUUCCAGGGUAAACCAGGUAUAGUUGAGAGUGACAGAGUUCCAGGUUAAACCAGGUAUAGUGGAGAGUGACAGAGUUCCAGGUUAAACCAGGUAUAGUAGAGAGUGACAGAGUUCCAGGUUAAACCAGGUAUAGUAGAGAGUGACAGAGUUCCAGGGUAAACCAGGUAUAGUUGAGAGUGACAGAGUUCCAGGUUAAACCAGGUAUAGUGGAGAGUGACAGAGUUCCAGGUUAAACCAGGUAUAGUAGAGAGUGACAGAGUUCCAGGUUAAACCAGGUAUAGUAGAGAGUGACAGAGUUCCAGGGUAAACCAGGUAUAGUUGAGAGUGACAGAGUUCCAGGUUAAACCAGGUAUAGUGGAGAGUGACAGAGUUCCAGGUUAAACCAGGUAUAGUAGAGAGUGACAGAGUUCCAGGUUAAACCAGGUAUAGUGGAGAGUGACAGAGUUCCAGGGUAAACCAGGUAUAGUAGAGAGUGACAGAGUUCCAGGUUAAACCAGGUAUAGUGGAGAGUGACAGAGUUCCAGGUUAAACCAGGUAUAGUGGAGAGUGACAGAGUUCCAGGGUAAACCAGGUAUAGUGGAGAGUGACAGAGUUCCAGGUUAAACCAGGUAUAGUGGAGAGUGACAGAGUUCCAGGUUAAACCAGGUAUAGUAGAGUGACAGAGUUCCAGGGUAAACCAGGUAUAGUGGAGAGUGACAGAGUUCCAGGUUAAACCAGGUAUAGUAGAGUGACAGAGUUCCAGGUUAAACCAGGUAUAGUAGAGAGUGACAGAGUUCCAGGGUAAACCAGGUAUAGUGGAGAGUGACAGAGUUCCAGGUUAAACCAGGUAUAGUAGAGAGUGACAGAGUUCCAGGUUAAACCAGGUAUAGUAGAGUGACAGAGUUCCAGGGUAAACCAGGUAUAGUAGAGAGUGACAGAGUUCCAGGUUAAACCAGGUAUAGUGGAGAGUGACAGAGUUCCAGGUUAAACCAGGUAUAGUAGAGUGACAGAGUUCCAGGGUA
Molecule: long non-coding RNA, 2852 nt
Organism: Oncorhynchus keta (chum salmon)
Lineage: Eukaryota; Metazoa; Chordata; Actinopteri; Salmoniformes; Salmonidae
Exons: 6
Source: RefSeq, a predicted model, not a curated record